Echinops telfairi (small Madagascar hedgehog) is the source of this 70-nucleotide small nucleolar RNA. RefSeq annotates it as small nucleolar RNA SNORD123. The transcript has a single exon. The record is from RefSeq and is a predicted model, not a curated record. NCBI's taxonomy places the organism in Eukaryota, Metazoa, Chordata, Mammalia, Afrosoricida, Tenrecidae.
GGUGAAAAUGAUGAAUUCUGGGUCUCUGAGUCAUGUGACCUGAAAAAGGCCAUCCAUUUCCUGAUUCACC